GCGCUCCACAUCCCGGGCUCGGGAGCGCCCCCGAUUGGCCGCUGGCUUGCCAGCGGGUCGCGCCCAGAACCACGCCCGGCCUGCCGGUCGCUUGAGAGCAGUACCCUCUGGAAAGGUGGGGAGGAUGCGGCGAGGCCCGCGCAGGAGACCGUGGGCAGCCAUUGUGGCGUGCUCCCGCAACUGUUUACGUGAGGCCGAGCGCGCCUCUUGGUGGGGCUGACUCCAGUUGAUGAGAGGGGAGCCUUGACUCCGUGAUACCCCGGAACCUCCUCGGGAUGCCCUAUAGAGAGGCAGACGGCGUGCGUCUCCAGCGUGGUGGGACUGCGGGCCAAAUGCUUGCGCUUAACACUUCUUCCAGGAUAAUUUCAUACAAAACUUACCUGUGGCCAACCAAAACACACUAAGAAGAUAGAAGUAAAACUUUGCCUCCCCUACAGUUUCUGGUGAUGAGUUUUGGAUUUCAGUAGUUGGGACAUUGAGAGAUCCAGGGACAUCUGACAGAAAGCCAGCAGAAGCAUUGGUCAAGAUGGCAAAAAAAGAUGAACAUAAUAAAAUAUAAGUGCAAUGAGAGGAGUCACUAGAACAUCUGUGGAAGCACAAAGGAGAAACUGCCUAGGAGUCAAGAAACACUUCACAGAGAAGAUUGUAGCCAUAAAUUUUCCUGUGGAAUCCAAAAAGGGCCAUAAUGGAGAGAUGGGAUUAAGAUGGCAGAAUAGAAGGACUGGAGCUCAAGUUCUCUCCUAAAAACAACAAAAUUUACAACCAAAUGCUGAGCAAUCUUCAACCAAAUGCACCGGAAACUUUCAAAAAGAUAGCCUACUCCAGACGACAAAGAGGAGGCCACAUCAAGAGGUGGGAGGGGUUAUUACGUGGUGAAAGCAACCCCACACCUCCUGGAUGGGAAGCCCCACAGACUGGAAACUAACUGGUUCACAGAGACUCACCUACAGGAGUGAGAGUUCUGAGCCUCACAUCAAACUCCCAUGUAUGGGGAUCUGGCACUGGAAGAAAGCCCCCAGAGCAUCUGGCAUUCAAGGCCAGUGGGGCUUGUGUGCAGGAGCCCCACAGGACUGGGGGAAAUGGAGACCCCAUUCUUAAAAGGCUCACACAGACCUUCACAUGCACUGGGUCCUAGAGCAAAGCAAAAUCUCCAUAGGAAUCUGGGUCAAAUCUGACUGCAGUUCUUGGAGGACUUCCUGGGAAAACAGGGGUGGACGUGGCUUGUUGUGAGGGAAGGACAUUGGAAGCAAAGCUCUCAGGAAUAUUCAGCAGUGGUGCCUUUCUCUGGAGGUGGCCAUUUUGGGAAAAUCUGGCCCCACCCAUCAGCACUGAGAAGGCCCAGGGCAAACAACAAUCCAGGUGGGAUCACAUAUCUGCCCAUCAGUAAACAGGCUGCCUAAAGAUCCCCCAAGCACACAGUCAUCUCUAAUCUCACCCAGAGACAAAGCCCCACCCACCAUAGGGACAGGAAUCAGCUCCACCUACCAGUGUGCAGGCAUCAGUCCCUCCCAUCAGGAAGCCUAUAGCAAGCCCCCAUACCAAUUUCAGCCACAAGGGGGGCAGACAUCAGAAGUACGAGAGGCUAUAACUCCAUUAUCUGUUAAAAGGUCACCACACCAAAAACCCAUGAAAAUGAAAAAACGGAGAACUAUAAAUCAGAUGAAGGAGAAAGAAAAAAACCCAGAAAAACAGCUAAGUGAGCAGGAGAUUCUCAGCCUCCAGGAAAAAGACUUUAGACUGUUGAUGCUGAAGAUGAUGCAAGACAUUGGAAAUAAACUGGAGGCAAAGAUGGAUAAUUUUAUAGGGAACACUGAGCAAAGAGAUACAAGAUAUAAAACUUAAACAAGAACAUAUGCAAAAUACAAUAACUGAAAUAAAAAAUUCGCUAGAAGCAGCUAACAGCAGAAUACAGGAGGCAGAAGAAUGAAUAAGUGAGGUGGAGGACAGAUUAGUGGAAAUUACGGAUGCGAAACAAAAGAGAAAAAAGAUUGAAAACAAGAGAGUCUCAGAGAAUUCUGGGACAACAUUAAAUGCACCAACAUCCAUAUUAUAGGGGUGCCAGAAGAAGAGAGAGAGAAGGGGACAGAAAAAAUAUUCCAAGAGAUAAUAGCCAAAAACUUCCCUAACAUGGGGAAGGAAUCACUCACUCGAAUCCAGCAAGCACAAUGAGUACCAUACAAAAUAAACCCAAGGAGGAACACCCCAAGAAACAUACUAAUCAAACUGACCAAAAUUAAAGACAAAGAGAAAAUCUUGAAAGCAGCUAGGGAAAAGAAACAAAUAACGUACAAGGGAACCCCGAUAAGGCUAUCGGCAGAUUUUUCAGCAGAAACUCUGCAGGCCAGGAGGGAGUGGCAUGAUAUACUCAACGUGAUGAAAGGAAGAAACCUCCAACCAAGAUUACUUUACCCAGCAAGGCUCUCAUUCAGAUUUGAAGGAGAAAUCAAAACCUCAGAUAAGCAAAAGCUGAGAGAAUUCAGCAACACUAAAUCAGCCUUACAACAAAUACAAAAGGAACUUCUCUAGAAAGAACAAAAAAGGACUCAACCAGAAACAAAAAUACUACAAAUGACAAGGCUCACCAGUAAAGAUAUAUAUACAGUAAAGAUACGAAAUCAUCCAUGCACAAUUAUGCCACCAAAAUCAAAAAUCAUGUGAAGAGGAGGGUUCAAAUGCAGGACACUGGAGAUGCACUUGAAAUUUAAGAGACCAACAACUUAAAACAAUUUUGUGUAUAUAUGUUUAUAUAUAUAUAUACUCAUAUCAAAACUUCGGAAUAACUGCAAACCAAAAAUCUACAAUUGAUACACAAAUAAGAAAAAUCAACUCAAAUACAACACUAAAGAUAGUCAUUAAACUGGAAG
This 2864-nucleotide long non-coding RNA is filed under the name Sus scrofa (pig). RNAcentral's name for it is "lncRNA (ENSSSCG00000053135.1)". The record is from RNAcentral. Lineage: Eukaryota; Metazoa; Chordata; Mammalia; Artiodactyla; Suidae.